This 887-nucleotide ribosomal RNA is filed under the name uncultured archaeon. RNAcentral describes it as "bacterial SSU rRNA". It matches the Rfam family "Archaeal small subunit ribosomal RNA", at positions 459 to 1344 of the family's 1478-position model. The record is from RNAcentral.
CAGCCGCCGCGGUAAUACCAGCCCCUCGAGUGGUGGGGAUGAUUAUUUGGCCUAAAGCGUCCGUAGCUGGCUGUGUAAGUCCCUCGUUAAAUCCAACGUCCUAAGCGUUGGGCGUUGCGAGGAAUACUGUAGAGCUAGAGGGUGGGAUAGGUCAGCGGUAUUCUGGGGGGAGGGGCGAAAUCCUUUGAUCCCCGGAGGACCACCAGUGGCGAAGGCUGCUGACUAGAACACGCCUGACAGUCAGGGACGAAAGCUGGGGUAGCGAACCGGAUUAGAUACCCGGGUAGUCCCAGCCGUAAACGAUGCAUGCUAGGUGUUGGGUUGGCCAUGCGCCGCCUCAGUGCCACAGGGAAGCCAUUAAGCAUGCCGCCUGGGGAGUACGGCCGCAAGGCUGAAACUUAAAGGAAUUGGCGGGGGAGCACCACCAGGCGUGAAGCCUGCGGUUUAAUUGGAGUCAACGCCGGGAAACUUACCGGGGGCGACAGCAGAGUGAAGGCCAGGCUGAAGACCUUGCCAGACAAGCUGAGAGGAGGUGCAUGGCCGUCGUCAGUUCGUGCCGUGAGGUGUCCUCUUAAGUGAGGUAACGAACGAGACCCGUGCCCCAUGUUGCCAUCAAAUCCUAUAUGGAUGUUGGGCACUCUUGGGGGACCGCUGUCGAUAAGGCAGAGGAAGGUACGGGCAACGGCAGGUCAGUAUGCCCCGAAUCCCCCGGGCCACACGCGGGCUGCAAUGGUAGGGACAGAGGGCUGCAACCCCGAGAGGGGAAGCCAAUCCCUAAACCCUACCUCAGUUGGGAUUGAGGGCUGUAACCCGCCCUCAUGAACUUGGAAUGCCUAGUAACCGCGCGUCAUCAUCGCGCAGUGAAUACGUCCCUGCCCCUUGCACAC